GUAGCUUGCUACAUUACCUAGCGGCGGACGGGUGAGUAAUGCUUAGGAAUCUGCCUAUUAGUGGGGGACAACAUUCCGAAAGGAAUGCUAAUACCGCAUACGCCCUACGGGGGAAAGCAGGGGAUCUUCGGACCUUGCGCUAAUAGAUGAGCCUAAGUCAGAUUAGCUAGUUGGUGGGGUAAAGGCCUACCAAGGCGACGAUCUGUAGCGGGUCUGAGAGGAUGAUCCGCCACACUGGGACUGAGACACGGCCCAGACUCCUACGGGAGGCAGCAGUGGGGAAUAUUGGACAAUGGGCGAAAGCCUGAUCCAGCCAUGCCGCGUGUGUGAAGAAGGCCUUUUGGUUGUAAAGCACUUUAAGCGAGGAGGAGGCUACUUGGAUUAAUACUCUAGGAUAGUGGACGUUACUCGCAGAAUAAGCACCGGCUAACUCUGUGCCAGCAGCCGCGGUAAUACAGAGGGUGCGAGCGUUAAUCGGAUUUACUGGGCGUAAAGCGUGCGUAGGCGGCUUUUUACGUCGGAUGUGAAAUCCCUGAGCUUAACUUAGGAAUUGCAUUCGAUACUGGGAAGCUAGAG
Molecule: ribosomal RNA, 576 nt
Filed under: uncultured Pseudomonadota bacterium
Lineage: Bacteria; Pseudomonadati; Pseudomonadota
Description: bacterial SSU rRNA
Rfam family: Bacterial small subunit ribosomal RNA
Source: RNAcentral